This 516-nucleotide ribosomal RNA is filed under the name uncultured bacterium. Its description in RNAcentral is "bacterial SSU rRNA". It matches the Rfam family "Bacterial small subunit ribosomal RNA", at positions 31 to 526 of the family's 1533-position model. The record is from RNAcentral.
GAACGCUGGCGGCGUGCCUAACACAUGCAAGUCGAACGGAGUUUCCAGCAAUGGAUUCUUAGUGGCGAACGGGUGAGUAACGCGUAGACAACCUACCUUCUAGAUGGGGACAACACCGCGAAAGUGGUGCUAAUACCGAAUGUUGUAGUGAUGAUGCAUAUCGUUAUUACUAAAGAUGGCCUCUAUAUAUAAGCUAUCGCUAGAAGAUGGGUCUGCGUCUGAUUAGCUAGUUGGUGGGGUAAUGGCUCACCAAGGCGACGAUCAGUAGCCGGUCUGAGAGGAUGAACGGCCACACUGGGACUGAGACACGGCCCAGACUCCUACGGGAGGCAGCAGUGGGGAAUCUUCCGCAAUGGACGAAAGUCUGACGGAGCAACGCCGCGUGAGUGAAGAAGGUUUUCGGAUCGUAAAGCUCUGUUUUCAGGGACGAAUGUGCAGAAUGUGAAUAAUGUUUUGUAAUGACGGUACCUGAGUAGAAAGCCACGGCUAACUACGUGCCAGCAGCCGCAGUAAAAC